This 460-nucleotide ribosomal RNA is filed under the name uncultured bacterium. RNAcentral's name for it is "partial 16S ribosomal RNA". It matches the Rfam family "Bacterial small subunit ribosomal RNA", at positions 338 to 795 of the family's 1533-position model. The record is from RNAcentral.
CCUACGGGAGGCAGCAGUGAGGAAUAUUGGUCAAUGGACGAGAGUCUGAACCAGCCAAGCCGCGUGAAGGAUGACUGCCCUAUGGGUUGUAAACUUCUUUUAUAUGGGAAUAAAAUGUUCCACGUGUGGGAUUUUGUAUGUACCAUAUGAAUAAGGAUCGGCUAACUCCGUGCCAGCAGCCGCGGUAAUACGGAGGAUCCGAGCGUUAUCCGGAUUUAUUGGGUUUAAAGGGAGCGUAGGUGGAUUGUUAAGUCAGUUGUGAAAGUUUGCGGCUCAACCGUAAAAUUGCAGUUGAUACUGGAAGUCUUGAGUACAGUAGCGGUGGGCGGAAUGCGUGGUGUAGCGGUGAAAUGCUUAGAUAUCACGAAGAACUCCGAUUGCGAAGGCAGCUCACUGAACUGCAACUGACACUGAGGCACGAAAGUGUGGGUAGCAAACAGGAUUAGAUACCCUGGUAGUC